Molecule: transfer RNA, 71 nt
Filed under: Caudoviricetes sp.
Lineage: Duplodnaviria; Heunggongvirae; Uroviricota; Caudoviricetes
Description: tRNA-Lys
Source: RNAcentral
UAGUCCGGAAAAUUAAGACGGCAUGCCUUUUAAGCAGGGUGUCCGGAGUUCGAAUCUCCGGCGGGUCACCA